Molecule: long non-coding RNA, 502 nt
Organism: Oreochromis aureus
Lineage: Eukaryota; Metazoa; Chordata; Actinopteri; Cichliformes; Cichlidae
Exons: 4
Source: RefSeq, a predicted model, not a curated record
UGUGAAGCCUGGAGGGAAAAUGAAUCAGAGUUAGACGUUUUCUGUUACAGGUUCAGCAAACAUCCCUGUGGCUGACCAUGGCUCUGCCUGUUGUUGUAUUCCUGUUGGCUCUCAUUGCCCUGGGUGCUGCAUCUGCACCUGACUGUAAGGAGCUCGUAAAGCCUUUUAUGCCAGAGGACCCCAAACAGGUGUUUGGAAAAUGGAUUUAUGUGAUGGGAGCUGGGGACCCCAAACAGUACCACAAAGCACUGGAGUCUCUGAAAAGCUCCUGGAUAGACUUGUCCCCGACUUCCAGCGAUCAGACUGUGACUUUGUGAUGGAGAGAUCACUGCUUUAACCGGUGCAUCGUGGGGGAGGCAAAUGCCACCAUCUCAGGGAUUGCUACCACAUUUCGCAAAAAUCUGUCAGACCACAAAGGGCACAUCCUGCAGACUUGCUCUGACUGCCUCCUGUGGACCGACACCUUCCGAAAUGGGGACGUCACUGGCAGAUACAUCCUGCA